AAGGGACACAAUUUAAAGUGAGCCUAUGUUGAAAGUGUGGUUUCUCUUCUCAUAGGGAACAUUUUCUGAUGUAUAUUUAGGAAAAUACUAUGUUAACAGAUUUAAUCAUCUGUAUCAAGGGUCAGCAAAUAUUUUUCAGUAUAGGGCCAGAUAGUAAAUAUUUUAGGCCUUAUAGGCCACGCAGUCUGUCAUAACUACUCAACUCUGUUGUUGUAGUGCUAAAGCAGGCAUAGACAGUGCAUAAUCAAAUGAGCAUGGCUGUGUUCCAAUAAAACUUUAUUUACAGGCCUCUUUGCCAACUAUAUAAAAGGAUGCUGUUCUGAUGGUGGAAUUUUGGGUCCUGUAUCCCUAUUAGUUACCAUUACUGUCCUAAACACAAACCCUUAUGACCUCACACAUACCUUCCUGUGUUGCCCUCUUUGUCAACCUCCUCAAGCCAUGCCCUCCUCUCUUUUCUCUUAACAGUCGCUGUGUCAGUUAUCCUAGCCACAAUAAUGCCACGCAACAAACAAAAAACUUUAGUGGCACCCAGUACAAAGUUCAUUGCUCCUAAAUCUGGGGUCAGAUGGAGGCUGGCCAGGUGAAUCUCCAGAUCUUGGCUCUGCUCACUUUCUUGCCUGGGGCUGUGCUCGCUGAGGUGGCUUGGCUCCAGUGGACUAGCUACGCUAGACACAGGCAAAAGUAUGGAGGAGAGCAGAAACCUGCAAGGCUUCUUGAAGCCUGGGCUCAAACUGGCACACUUUCCCUUCUGCCUCUUUCCCAUUGGAUGAGUCCAGAUUCAAGAGAUUCUCUGAAACAUUUGUCUGGUGUCCCAGCAGUUACCACUCUCCUCUUCACAGCAUUUGGAAAAGCCUACAUUAUUUUCAGAUUCUCUUCUCUGAGAAUUCUCAGCUCUUUCUUUAUCAAUAUGGUCAUCUGUAACCUGCAGUACUACAGUAAAUCUAAAAAAGGAAAACAAAAAAGUGCUUAUUGGACUCUCAAUGGCCUACCUUUGAAAAUAGCCCCAAGUAAGGGGAAAACUCUGUGGAGCUGAAAGGAAAAUACCCAUGCAUCACCUGACUUCCCCUUUUUCCACAGUAGGUGGGCCAUGCUACUUUCUCCAUCCUUGCUGCCCAUUCAGCUUGGUCACAUGACAAAGCUCUCUCCAAUGGAAUGAGAGCAGAGGUGAUGUGAGCCACUUCUAGGCCUGGUCCAUGAAACCACCUGUGACUUUUGCUAGGAUAGACUUCCUCUAACUGAAUAAAAAUCUAUAUCCCUAUUAUUGCUGUUUGCUGAUCUUAGUUAAUUUUUCUGAAAUAAGAUAAGCCUACCCCUUCUUCCUCACCCCUCUUUAGGGCCCUUUCUAACUCUAAAUAUCUAUGAUUUCAUAACUGAGUUCAGAAUGCCCAUUCAAAAU
Molecule: long non-coding RNA, 1396 nt
Filed under: Equus caballus (horse)
Lineage: Eukaryota; Metazoa; Chordata; Mammalia; Perissodactyla; Equidae
Description: lncRNA (ENSECAG00000042618.2)
Source: RNAcentral